RNAcentral lists this ribosomal RNA (857 nucleotides) under uncultured Comamonadaceae bacterium. RNAcentral describes it as "bacterial SSU rRNA". It matches the Rfam family "Bacterial small subunit ribosomal RNA", at positions 57 to 914 of the family's 1533-position model. The record is from RNAcentral. Lineage: Bacteria; Pseudomonadati; Pseudomonadota; Betaproteobacteria; Burkholderiales; Comamonadaceae.
GCAAGUCGAACGGUAGAGGGGGCAACCCCUUGAGAGUGGCGAACGGCUUAGUAAUAUAUCGGAACGUGCCCAGUCGUGGGGGAUAACGUAGUGAAAAUUACGCUAAUACCGCAUACGAUCUAAGGAUGAAAGCGGGGGAUCGCAAGACCUCGCGCGAUUGGAGCGGCCGAUAUCAGAUUAGGUAGUUGGUAGGGUAAAGGCCUACCAAGCCAACGAUCUGUAGCUGGUCUGAGAGGACGACCAGCCACACUGGAACUGAGACACGGUCCAGACUCCUACGGGAGGCAGCAGUGGGGAAUUUUGGACAAUGGGCGAAAGCCUGAUCCAGCCAUUCCGCGUGCAGGAUGAAGGCCCUCGGGUUGUAAACUGCUUUUGUACAGAACGAAAAGGUCUCUAUUAAUACUAGGGGCUCAUGACGGUACUGUAAGAAUAAGCACCGGCUAACUACGUGCCAGCAGCCGCGGUAAUACGUAGGGUGCAAGCGUUAAUCGGAAUUACUGGGCGUAAAGCGUGCGCAGGCGGUUAUAUAAGUCAGAUGUGAAAUCCCCGGGCUCAACCUGGGAACUGCAUUUGAGACUGUAUAGCUAGAGUACGGUAGAGGGGGAUGGAAUUCCGCGUGUAGCAGUGAAAUGCGUAGAUAUGCGGAGGAACACCGAUGGCGAAGGCAAUCCCCUGGACCUGUACUGACGCUCAUGCACGAAAGCGUGGGGAGCAAACAGGAUUAGAUACCCUGGUAGUCCACGCCCUAAACGAUGUCAACUGGUUGUUGGGUCUUAACUGACUCAGUAACGAAGCUAACGCGUGAAGUUGACCGCCUGGGGAGUACGGCCGCAAAGGUGAAACUCAAAGGAAUUGAC